GUCACCGGGUUUCCUUCUGUCAAGGCCAGAGCAGCCUCGACCUCCUCUGCUGGGGGUUCUGGGUCUUCCCACGUGCCGGGCACCCGCAGUGUGCCCACAAGGGCGAUUUCCCCACUUCCGGGGUCCUGGCGGAGGCCAUGGCCCAAGCACUUGGUACCGGGGGCUCGACUAACGGUGCCGGAAGCAAGGCCUCGACGGCCCCGAACAUCACGUCUCCUAGCCGCGUGGUGGAGAAGCCCGAAGAUGCAGCCCCGACCUAGGGAUGAAGGCG
Molecule: long non-coding RNA, 271 nt
Filed under: Hordeum vulgare
Lineage: Eukaryota; Viridiplantae; Streptophyta; Magnoliopsida; Poales; Poaceae
Description: long non-coding RNA (HVUL_LNC004204)
Source: RNAcentral